RNAcentral lists this transfer RNA (70 nucleotides) under Curruca curruca (lesser whitethroat). RNAcentral describes it as "Sylvia curruca (lesser whitethroat) tRNA-Pro". It matches the Rfam family "tRNA". From Rfam's summary of the family: Transfer RNA (tRNA) molecules are approximately 80 nucleotides in length. Their secondary structure includes four short double-helical elements and three loops (D, anti-codon, and T loops). The record is from RNAcentral. RNAcentral also lists the same sequence under 7 other names. Lineage: Eukaryota; Metazoa; Chordata; Aves; Passeriformes; Sylviidae.
CAGAGAGUAGUUUAGUUGAAAAUGCCAGCUUUGGGAGUUGGUGAUGAAGGUUUGAUUCCUUUCUCUUUGA